Mus musculus (house mouse) is the source of this 2318-nucleotide RNA transcript. It is a transcript of the gene named YY1 associated factor 2, with no coding region annotated. The transcript has 5 exons. NCBI's taxonomy places the organism in Eukaryota, Metazoa, Chordata, Mammalia, Rodentia, Muridae. The record is from RefSeq and is marked validated.
GCGUGGGAUCCGGCGGCGGCGGCGGCAGCGGCGGCGGCGACGGCGGCGGCGGCGGCUGCAGCUCGCGGCGCGGCCUUCCCCGCCCCCUCGCCUCCGCGCUUCCGCCGGCCCCUCACCCCGGCGCUGACAGACCGGCGCGCGUCGGCAGCGAGCAUGGGCGACAAGAAGAGCCCCACCAGGCCGAAGCGGCAGCCGAAGCCCGCCUCGGAUGAGGGCUACUGGGACUGCAGUGUCUGCACCUUCCGGAACAGCGCCGAGGCCUUCAAGUGCAUGAUGUGCGAUGUGCGGAAGGGCACCUCCACCCGAUCCACAUUCUCUGAAGCUAUUGCGAAUGCCUUGAGGACCAAGGGACCGUUGUGAUCCCCUCUCAGGAAGGAAGCCACGCCCUGUCUCCCAGCUGGUCGCACAGCAGGUCACGCAGCAGUUCGUGCCCCCUACCCAGUCGAAGAAAGAGAAGAAAGACCGAGUAGAGAAGGACAAGAGUGAGAAGGAAGCUGCUAGCAAAAAGAACUGUCACAAGAAAACCAGACCAAGAUUAAAAAAUGUGGAUCGGAGUAGCGCUCAGCAUUUGGAAGUCACUGUUGGAGAUCUAACAGUCAUUAUCACAGACUUUAAGGAGAAAGCCAAGUCAGCGCCUGCGUCCAGCGCUGCUGGCGAUCAGCACAGCCAGGGCAGCUGCAGCUCGGACAGCACUGAGCGGGGUGUGUCCAGGUCCUCCUCGCCGCGGGGAGAAGCCUCCUCCCUCAACGGAGAGUCUCACUAACCGUUCUUGCUCCACUUAGUCAUGCCUGUCCUCCAUGGAGAUGCAGAGUAUGCCAACAACUACCACAUUUUCAUGACAGACACACUCAUGCAUAACCUAUAAUUUGAGUUUUACACGAAAUACGAAUUUGCCAGGAUUUAUUAGAUUUUAUUGCAGUGUAAGCUACCAAACAUUUCCAGAGUUAACAUUUUGGUCUCUGCUGUUAAAUGCCAUGAAAAUGUGGUUGAAUUAUUCAUUAUGCAGUGUUAUUGGUAAGUCUAUUUUCACUUAUAGUUUAGUGAAUUCUAACACAUAAUUAUUGAAUUCUCUACUAUUGGCAUGUAAUGAGUUUAAAUUUUUUAUUACAUAGUGCAAGCUGCCUAAAUAUGUAUUAUUUGAGAAUUGUGAAACAAAUAGUUAUAUGUAUGCAAGUCAGAGAUCAACUUAAUCAACUAUUGCUGCAACAGGAUUUUCUUAAUGGUUAUCCUCUUAAUGCACCUGCUGGUACUUGGUGUGAUUAAAUAGGAAGUUGUUAUUAAAUAAAGAAUUUGUAUGAAUCUUUGCCAAUGUUUUUUGACAUGUUUUUACUAAAUUAUUGUUUCUGAGUUAUGUUUUAUCCAUUUUUUGCAGUUUAUGUUUGUUAGUUUGCUUAUUUUUCAAAGCAUCAAUUUAUUGUACUGUUCACUAGUAGACAGUACGACGUGGCUUGUUUAGCUUUCUGAUCAGGGUUAGCGCUGUUGUCGUUGAACACUGGUAUUUCCUGCAUCCUCUAAGACAUUAGAGUUAAAGAAGCAAGCAUCUGGCAGAAGCAGGAAAGAACUUGCCAUACUUGCAAACGCUCUAACUUAAUGAUAGUUUUAUCACUGUCUCCCUGUUCCAACCCUACCCAGGGUCACAGACAUGUGACUCUAGUUGAUAUAAACAUGUAACUAUUACACAGAACUGAGGUGUCACUCCUAAGUCAGCUUAAUUGGCCUUUUACUAAAUAAAACAAUUCAUAUGGAAACCACAGUACUCUAGUUCCAGAUACAACCUUCAAUUUAUGCACUUAUCAAUAUCUUGAAAUAAAAAGUAUUUACGGCCCCACUCACUUAUGUAUAAUCACCAAUAAAAUAUUUUUUAUGACUUACAGUUUUGCAUUUUGUUUACAACUAAAUGGAGUGUGUUAUGUUGUAUUUGAAAAUACAUCUUAGAAACUACAUGCUCUAUCUUAUUCUCCUCAGGUUCUCUUGUUUUUGCUAGCCAUUUGCUUAAUAUAUAUCUGCCUAUGGGGGUGGGGGGAGCUUCUGAAAUGUAAAUUAACCUAAAGAUAAAACGUACCUUGAAUAUCAUCUACCACAUAAAAGACAUCAUGGCAACAUUUGAAGGAAAAUCUGUGGUCCCUGACAGUUGUGAUACUUGGUUUCUCAUGGUAAUGUCACUGUUGAAAUGCAGUUCGUUUCAUUGGCACAGUGGUACUCUUGUAACGUGCUAGUUGUGAAUAGUUUAUUGCAUACAGUAAAAAUCUGUGAUGAAAACGCUCAGAUACCUCAUUCUUCAGUGUUGUUAAAUGAAGGCUUAAAACUUGUUUUAUUCU